UUAGCUCUCAUUCAGGAUAGAUUUGUUAGAGCUAGUGGUGAGAGUAGCAAACUCACUCUGGCUGGUAUCCAAUUCAUAAUCAGUUUCAUUAAUAAUACCGUCGGUAUCGUCAUCAUUGUCAUAAUCACUGCUCUCAGCAAGGUGGGCAGUCAUUUCGGCUAAACGAUUUUGUGCGUUCUCUAUGGCUGUGCUACUUUUUUCUAACGAGCUUUCCAGCUGUUCCAUGUACUGUUGGAUGAACUCGGAAUAGAUAUCAGCAUCCUUUUCAGCCUUCUCGAGUGCAUGCAUAAUUUUCUCCUUUUCACUAUUGCUAUUGAACAUUGAAUCUUUUAGUGGUUUAUCAGCAAUCUUAGCAUCAGACACCUGUUUUGUCAAAGUCCUUUCCACUUCUUCAAAUGUGUCUUGUAAUGUCCUUAUUUCAGCAUCCAACUGAGGGUCAUGCUUCAAGCAUUCAUUCCUGAGCUCUUCAUACUCUUCUUCUAAAGCUUCUUUUUGCUUUUCGUACUGUUCGGUCUCAGAAUUCGCCCGCUCCGUUUCAGCUUCCAAUCUUUCAAUCUCUAGCUUUAAUUGCUGCUGCUCUUCCAAUAGGUCGGUUAUUUGUCUUUCGAAUUCUUCUUGGAUUUUUUGUUCUUCUUUAGCUGCCCGCUGUUUCCGAUUUACCAUACUGGAAACAGACGCCUUUUGCAUUUUAAGAGAAUCAUAAACAUUUAGCAAGUUAUUCUUCGCUGACUCCAGCUCCUUCCUUUUCUUUCGCUCUUGCAUAAGUAAAAUAGAAACCUUGUCUCCUUCUUUCUUUAGUCUGUCGAUUUCGUUUUGCAUAGUAGCAAUCAAUUGACCAGAAGACGGUUUUCUAGAUCCUGUUUUUGCAUGGUCAUGAGGUACUCCUCUACCAAUAUACGUUGCCUCAAUAUGAUCUGUCAAUUUUUCUAAAUCAUUUGCCAUAUCUUGGAGCGUCGAAACUUCUUCCUUUCUAUUUUCUGGGAUCGCUAUAUUAGCGUUUGCUUGAACUAUUAUUUACUUAUUUCUCUUACCAAUAUUAUCAUGAACUUGCUCGAUUUCAUGUUCUAAUUUUUCGGAUCCCUCUAAACCCAUUUUUUACAUUAAAUAAAAGAAAGAGAAAUAAAUAUGAAUUAGACUUGCUUCAUUGCAAAGGAUAAGUUGCAUCCUUAUUUUUCAUUCAUUGUCCUAAAGCAUUCAUUUAUUGCACGGUAAGUCUCAGUUGGACUCGAUAAACGGUUUAAGAGGGUGUAUCAAUCAUUUAGAUGAAUGCCAAGAUUUGAAGAAAAUAGUAUAAUUAUGGAAUUAUGGAACAAAUGAUUAUUAUUCUACAUUAUGUGUAUAGACAC
This is a non-coding RNA of Schizosaccharomyces pombe (fission yeast), 1346 nucleotides long. The record is from the annotation of a GenBank genome assembly. Lineage: Eukaryota; Fungi; Ascomycota; Schizosaccharomycetes; Schizosaccharomycetales; Schizosaccharomycetaceae.